Molecule: ribosomal RNA, 521 nt
Filed under: uncultured Lachnospiraceae bacterium
Lineage: Bacteria; Bacillati; Bacillota; Clostridia; Lachnospirales; Lachnospiraceae
Description: bacterial SSU rRNA
Rfam family: Bacterial small subunit ribosomal RNA
Source: RNAcentral
GUAGUCCUGGCGUCUACGGGGAUGUAACGGCUGGCGGCGUGCCUAACACAUGCAAGUCGAACGGGGUCGUUAGGUAGCGGAAGUUUUCGGAGUGGAAGGAUUAAGACUAGUGGCGGACGGGUGAGUAACGACGUGGGUAACCUGCCUGUACAGGGGGAGUAACAGUUGAAACGGGACUGCUAAAACCGCAUAACAUGGAGAUACCGCAUGAUAUUUCCAUCAAAUAUUUAUAGGUACAGGAUGGGCCCGCGUCUGAUUAGCCAGUUGGCAGGGUAAUGGCCUACCAAAGCGACGAUCAGUAGCCGGCUUGAGAGAGUGACCGGCCACAUUGGGACUGAGACACGGCCCAAACUCCUACGGGAGGCAACAGUGGGGGAUAUUGCACAAUGGGGGAAACCCUGAUGCAGCGACGCCGCGUGAGUGAAGAAGUAUUUCGGUAUGUAAAGCUCUAUCGGCAGGGAAGAAAAAGCGCGCGAGCGCCCUUGACAGUACCUGACUAAGAAGCCCCGGCUAACUACGUG